GACGAACGCUGGCGGCGUGCUUAACACAUGCAAGUCGAACGGACAGGCCCUGCUCUUGUGGGGUGCUCGUUUGCCGCACGGGUGAGUAACACGCGAGUAUCAUGUCCCUGUCUUUGGGGUAACAUUAGGGAACUGGGGCUCAUACCGGAUAGGAGAUCCUGCUGCGUGGGGGGGGUUGGAAAGAUUCGGCGGUUUGGGAUGGUCUAGCAGCUUAUGAGCUUGUUGGUGGGGUAGUGGCAUACCAAGGCUUUGACGGGUAGCCGGCCUGAGAGGGUGACCGGCCACAUGGGGACUGAGAGACGGCGCAGACUCCUACGGUAGGCAGCAGUGGGGAACAUUGCACAGUGGGCGGACGCCUGAUGCAGCAACGCCGCGUGCGGGAUGACCUCUUUCUGGGUGUAAACCGCUGUGGCCUGUAACGAAGCGUGAGUGACGGUAAUGGGUAAAGAAGCACCGGCUAACUACGUG
This 468-nucleotide ribosomal RNA is filed under the name uncultured bacterium. RNAcentral describes it as "partial 16S ribosomal RNA". It matches the Rfam family "Bacterial small subunit ribosomal RNA", at positions 28 to 507 of the family's 1533-position model. The record is from RNAcentral.